AUGGCGCAGGGUUUUGCAGUGAGCUUCGACCCACUGGGCCUCAGAGAACUCAGCUCGGGCUCUCUGAGCUCCCUCUCCUCCCGCGGCCACCUGGGCAGCGACUCGGGCUCCGCAAUGCGAUACCUGCUGAAGAAGCAGCAGCGGCUGCUGAACGGGCCCCCCCGCGGAAUCCGAGCCUCCUCACCCAUGGGCCGCGUCAUCCUCAUCAACUCCCCCAUCGAAGCCAACAGUGAUGAAAGCGACAUCAUCCAUGCUGUCCGGGUGGAGAAGAGCCCAGCAGGGAGACUGGGUUUCAGUGUGCGGGGCGGCUCUGAGCAUGGCCUGGGCAUCUUCGUCAGCAAGGUGGAGGAGGGGAGCAGUGCAGAGCGGGCUGGCCUGUGCGUGGGGGACAAGAUCACGGAGGCGAAUGGGCUGAGCCUGGAGAGCACCACCAUGGGCAGUGCCGUGAAAGUGCUGACGGGCAGCAGCUGCCUGCACAUGAUGGUGAGGCGCAUGGGCCGCGUGCCGGGCAUCAAAUUCUCCAAGGAGAAGACCACGUGGGUGGAUGUGGUGAAUCGGCGGCUGGUAGUGGAGAAGUGUAGCUCGACGCCAUCCGACAGCGGCUCGGAGGACGGGGUGAGGCGCAUCGUCCACCUGUACACCACGUCAGACGACUUCUGUCUGGGCUUCAACAUCCGCGGGGGCAAGGAGUUUGGCCUGGGCAUCUAUGUGUCCAAAGUGGAUCAUGGUGGGCUGGCUGAAGAGAACGGCAUCAAGGUGGGGGACCAGGUCCUGGCGGCCAACGGUGUCAGGUUCGACGACAUCAGCCACAGCCAGGCUGUGGAGGUGCUGAAGGGCCAAACGCACAUCAUGUUGACUAUCAAGGAGACUGGCCGGUACCCUGCCUACAAAGAGAUGGUUUCUGAGUACUGCUGGCUGGACCGAUUGAGCAACGGGGCACUGCGGCAGCUGUCCCCCGCCUCGGAGAGCAGCUCGAGCGGCUCCUCCUAUGCCUCCAGCGCCCCCUGCAGCUCGGCCGAGGGCUCCCUGCCCUCCCAGUGCCUGGAUGUCGGCCUGGGGCCUGAGGAGCCGUGCAGUCAGGGCCCAGGCUGGGGGCGGGCGGACACAGCCAUGCAGACGGAGCCGGACGUGGGUGGCCGCGUGGAGACCUGGUGCAGCGUGAGGCCCACCGUCAUUCUCAGGGACACAGCCAUCCGCUCCGACGGCCCCCGGCCUGCCCGCCGCCUGGAUUCUGUGCUCUCCGAGUCCCCUAAGACUGCUCUGCUGCUGGCCCUGAGCCGACCCCGGCCCCCCAUCACGAGGUCCCAGAGCCACCUGACCUUGUGGGAGGAGAAGAAGCAGCGGAAGAAGGAGAAGUUGGGGUCCUCCGGGGAAAAGGGGGCCCUGCAGCGCUCCAAGACACUGAUGCACCUCUUCUUCAAGGGAGGGCGGCAGGGGUGGCUGGCAGGGCACGGGCACAGAGAGGCCUGGACGCUGGACGGAGGGAGCCCAGCCAAGCCCCGCCCUCGCCUAGAGGCGGAGAAAGCAGGGGCAGUGGGGCCUGUGCAGAAGUUUGUCACCUGGAGACUGAGACGCGAGCGGGAGAGGGGCCCGACCCUGCUCUCUGCUAGGUCCAGGAGCCCCUCCAGCCAGCUGCCCAACAUGGAUGAGCAGGUGCAAGCCUGGGAGAGCCAACGGCCCCUUAUUCAGGACUUGGCCCGACGGCUGCUGACUGACGACGAGGUGCUGGCAGUCACCCGUCACUGCUCCCGGUACGUGCACGAGGGCGGCGUGGAGGACCUCGUCAGGCCCCUGCUGGCCAUUCUGGACAGGCCCGCGAAGCUGCUGCUACUGAGGGACAUCAGGAGCGUGGUGGCCCCCACCGACCUCGGCCGCUUCGACAGCAUGGUGAUGCCCGUGGAGCUGGAGGCUUUUGAGGCCCUUAAGAGCCGGGCAGUACGGCCUCCUGCCUUGCGACCAGCCCGGCAGGAUACACCACCCAAGCGUCACCUCGUCACGCCUGUGCCUGACAGACGUGGAGGUUUCUACCUGCUGCCUGUGAAUGGCUUCUCAGAGGAGGAAGACGAUGGGGAGCUGAGGGAGAGGCUGGGGGGCCUCCAGCUCUCCCUGGGUGCCUCUGCUCCCCGCCACCCUCAUAAAGGGAUCCCCCCUCUCCAAGACGUGCCAGUAGACGCCUUUGCCCCACACCGAAGCUCCUGCACACCCCCUCCCCAGCCACCCCCUGUCACUCCCCGGCCCCCAAGGCCUAACUGGCUGCUGACAGAACCCUUGACCCCAGAGGACCCUCGGCAGGGUCAGAGCCAGAGCCAGAGCCAGAGCCAGGGCCCUGCCCAGAGCCACAGCUGCGGCCGGGGUCGAGGCAAGUCCCCCGGACGCAGACGCUCCCCAUCCCCAGUGCCUGUCCCCACCCCCAGCAUGGCCAACGGGCGCUACCACAAGCCUCGGAAGGCCAGGCCCCCUCUGCCACGACCUGUGGAUGAGCAGGCAGCCAAGGUGGGGGGCCGUCAAGGCCCCUCCGAGAAUGGAACUGGCGGGACAGCCAGGGAGGCAGCCAAGAAGGCCCCUGGCGGGGAGCUGAGGACAGUCACGCUGUCCAAGAUGAAGCAGUCCUUGGGCAUCAGCAUUUCUGGGGGCAUUGAGUCCAAGGUGCAGCCCAUGGUGAAGAUAGAAAAGAUCUUUCCUGGGGGGGCUGCCUUCCUCAGUGGGGCCCUGCAGGCUGGCUUCGAGCUUGUGGCAGUGGAUGGAGAGAGCCUGGAGCAGGUGACCCACCAGCGAGCAGUAGAUACCAUCCGCCGAGCUUAUCGAAACAAGGCUCGGGAGCCCAUGGAGCUUGUGGUCAGGGUCCCCGGGACCAGUCCACUACCCUUACCCCCUGACUUGUCAGCCCUCACCAAUCAGCGCCUUCCUGCUGACCACUCCUCCGCCCGCCGACCCCUUGAUGGUACUCCUUCCCUCCCACUGCCUCCCAGAACCUCCCAUUAAUGCUCUGCCCACCAAUAUCCAGAUUCCUCCCACCGACGCCAGGCUCCUCCAUCAGACCGACAGCCCAGUCCCUUCUCUAGCCCUCCAGACUCCUGAUACUAACCCCAGACUCUCCCCACCUAUGCUAUGA
Molecule: RNA transcript, 3112 nt
Organism: Odobenus rosmarus divergens (Pacific walrus)
Lineage: Eukaryota; Metazoa; Chordata; Mammalia; Carnivora; Odobenidae
Gene: PDZD7
Exons: 16
Source: RefSeq, a predicted model, not a curated record